Long non-coding RNA from Pezoporus flaviventris, 2609 nucleotides. RefSeq lists it as uncharacterized. Lineage: Eukaryota; Metazoa; Chordata; Aves; Psittaciformes; Psittacidae. The record is from RefSeq and is a predicted model, not a curated record. The transcript has 2 exons.
CAAAAUCACUUGCAGGUGUACAUAAGUCUUGCCAAUCCUUCUAGCCCAAUUUUUGUAUGCAAGGUCAUCCUCCUGGUGCUACCUUAGAAACUGGCCUUAUUCUACAGAGGACAUUGAAUGAUAACACUGCAAGUCAGCUGACUGCUGUGUCACAGAGCUGCUGCUUUCUACAUUAUCGCAACUGCCAGAGCUCUUACUGCUGCAGUUUUCUAGUCGCAGUGCGGCAAAGCAGACGCAUAGAACCAGGCACAAAGCAGCAUAGAUUUUUUUUAUAUUCUUGCCUUUUUCAUAUGAAGGGAAUAUUCCUGGUGUUAGCGCAGGAACAGACACACAGCCUGGAUGUGUUGGCUUCAGCCUGGCAGCGUUUUCAGCUGAGCAGGGACUGCUUGGAGCUCUGCACCCAAACUGCCUCUGAGGAAGAACGCCUGGCUUCCCACUUUAUGUACUAAGAGUGUUUUUUUUUUAUGCUACGGUGAUAUACCUGCAGCAAUAGGACAAAGGAGAUAGUACUUGUCACUGUUUGCUCGACUGGGGCCUUUGCAGGCACUACACUGCCGAAGCUGUGCCAACGUCCCAGGGUCAUAUAGAUUGGUAAUACAGAUUGCCGCAGUUUCUUACCUCAGUUAGAGCAAAGCUCAUACAAGAAACCAGACUCUCUGACCUAAAUCAAUCCCACUCCUUUUGGAUACAGGGCAGCAGUCGACUAGCAAUGACACAACCAGCCAUCAAGUGGAGACUCUCUGGGACUGCAAUCUGUAUCGGUUGGAGUCUGAGAGAAUGAAACCUUUUCGGUUAUCCAGUCGCUUCUCCUUCUUCUAAUACUGCAAUUACUACAACUACAACAACUACUACUACUACUUCUGUUUUUCUUGCCUGUAAGAAGCUAUAAAUUGUGCUUGGUCUCUGAGCAUAUAUUUGCCUGGAUUAGUCUGUCUAUAAUGCAGUUCUUAUCUGCUCCUGCUGGAAAUCAGGGCACAAAGUCAGCCUGCUUUAACAGUUUUUUCUUUCUGCGUGAUGCUAUGCAACUAGAAUGGGUUACACUGACAACAAAGGAACAAGCACAAAGCACCACUUUCUUUGCUGGACUGUUACAGGAACAUAACUCUUCUUCGAUAUGACACCCUGGUCUCUUCUCUUUGCUGUUCUAUUGUUGCUGGGUAUUUUUGUUUCAAAUUCAUCUAAUCGAAGAGCCUAACAGACACCAUCGUGGAUGUGGGUUUUAAUGCUUUGGAAAAGACAGCCUGUGGAGACUGCGAUUUGAGACAGCAACACAUUUAGGUUAUUGCCAAUUUGAAAUACUUGGUUUGUGAAGCACAGCCCUAAGGGACGAGCUCAGUAACUGAGAAUGAUAUUGUAGAUAAAGAAAUAAAAAUGACAAGCGUAAUGGAGGCUCUGCAAAAGAGACUGUCAGAGAAUCAGUUCAUGGAUGGCAAUUUCACCAGUCUGAAUCUGAAUAAUUCAUAGAUUGAAAUUACCCUGCUUUCACCUUUCCAUUUAAAACGGCAUGAUCUGAAUCUCUAAUAAAUUUUCAAGAUAAAGUAAAAUGCCAAUUUGAAUCUGAAGAGCUUUUAAAACCAGAUGCUACACCCUGAAUCUUUCGAUACCUUUCACAAUUAUCCUGUGAGAACCGCACUUCAUCAUGAAGCACCAUUACCAGUGAAAAUUACUGUGAUUACAAUAGCAACAAUAGAAUACCAUCAAAUGAUCUCUAAUUUACCUAAUUUACCAAGGCUGACUGUGUGCCCAUUGUGUUUCACUACGUCUGGCAUUGGAUCAAUAUCACAGUGGAACAAAAAUGCCUUAGUGUGUGCUUUCUUUUGGCACCUUUAACUUUGACAGUACAGGAAAAAUCUAUCUGCUGUUAAAUGUUUUUACAGCCAAUCUGCAUGCCUGCUGUAAGAUCUGAUUGAUUCUCCAUGAUUUCUUUAGCUCUUGGGUACUGGAUGUCAUUGUGUUACUAAUUUGUUUAUAAUGUAUACUCAUGCACAAAGACUGCAGCAAAUGAGUACCAGCAGAGAGACCCUGCACUGCUGCUGCAGUGGCAGCGCUCUUGCAGGGGAAGCCAAAAUGAGUUCGGUGCCUUAUGUUAAUAGUUACUCGUGUCUGAGUUAGAAAUGCUUUCUAGCAUCACCGGCCUUGGUCGUAUUACAUGAAAAAAUUAUGCAAAAGCCACAGCGAAGUAAAAUGAUCAUGUGGGAUACUAACAAGAUUUUUUUCCCCUAUUCAGCAGUUAGCAUGUGGUUGUGAGACAGACUGCAACUUCUGUAGACGUGCAUGUGUAGGUACGCAUGCACAUACAUAGACAUAAAGAUACUGUGCUUUGUGAAUAUGUGCCGAUCACUGAAAGUAGCAACUUUUUCUGACAAGCCAGGCACAGUGUUUUGCCACAAUCUGCUCACUUGUAACAAAUCCCUGGUUUGGAGGUGUAAAUUUCCUAUAGGAUGAAGCGUGACUUCUGGAACAAGUUUCUUUAUCAGUGUUAUCUGCUGCAACAGUCUGUGGAGAGUGGCUGGUCAUGGGAUGCUAGAUGUCCUCAUUAACAGCUGCAGAGCAGUUUAUAACAUAAAGUUUACAUUUAAGGACUCGAUCCAAAGAAUUCUGUGAAUCCC